GAUGAUUUUGUAUUUUUAUUUCACUUAUUUCUUAUUUCAUUACCAUAUGCUAUAAUAGGAUGCAAGGAAUUAUCUCUUUUUUGUUUUUGCUAAGAUUUGCUUUGUGCCCUAAAUUAUGAUCUAUUUUAGAGAAAGUUCCAUGAGAAGUUCUACUGAGAAGACAGUGUUCUAAAGAUUUCUAUUAGGUUCUUUUGAUUAAUAGUAUUUUUAGUCCUGAAAUAUCUAAUGAUGAAAUAAAUGGGUUGAAAUUCUCUAGUAUUAUUGUAUUAUGCUAUAUUUAAUUCUUUUUUAUCAUACUCUUAUUUUAUUGGUAGGAAAACUAGGAAAGUUUAUAAAAUAAGAAAUGCAAAGCAUAAUGUAGUUAAAGACAAUAAAAUAGAAUUGGUGUCUUAAUUAGUAUUUUCCAUCUUUUUUAAAAAAAUAUUUUUAGUUGUAGUUGGACAUAAUACCUUUAUUUUAUUCAUUCAGUUUUUAUGUGGUGCUGAGGAUCAAACCCAAGGCCCACACAUACUGGACGAGCACUCCAUCGCUGAGCCACAACCCCAGCCCAGUAUUUUCCAUCUUUAAUUAGUAAAAAUUAUCUUCUUUAAAGUAUAAGAAAAAAUUACCCAUAUUAACACUACUGACAAUAAACUUCACUAAUUUAACACUAUAUCUCUCUAACCUUUUUGUAUUCAUUAGCACUUAAAAGCAUAAAAGUUGAUGGAUCUUUAUAUUUCUAAAACUAUUAACUAAAAUAGGUUUCCAAUUGGAAAAGAUAAUAACUAAUACUAUUUGGUAUUAAAUAGAAUUGAAUUCUUUAUACCUUCAUUUUAUUUAUUUAUUUUUAUGUGGUGCUAAGGAUAGAACCCAGUGUCUCACACAUCCUAGGAAAGUGCUCUACCAUUGAGCCACAACCCCAACCCCAACUCUAGAACUAUAUCCUAAUAAUCAAAUUAAAGACAUAUCAAGAAAACAAUGACAUCACUGAGGGUUGUGUCAGAUUGCCAUUUACUGUCUAAUCAGAUAUUCUUAAAUUACUAUUUGAGUUUUUAUAUUGAGAAGCAUUUGCUUUCUGUGUAUAGAUACACAUUGUUUGGGGCAGAAAUAUUUACAACCAUUGUAUCUUAUUGUUGGAUUAUUCCCUUAACCAAUAUGAAGAAACAUCUUUGUCUCUUCUGAUUAAUCUUGGCUUGAAGUAUACUUUUUCCUGAUAUGACAACAUAUUGCUUUGGUUGUCUGUUUGCAUGGAUUAUUUUUUUUCUACCCUUUCACCAUUGGUCUUUGGUGAAAGGGUAGAAAGUGAAGUGAAUUUCUUGUAAACAACAUAUGGUUGGGUAUUAUUUUUUAAUCCAAUAUUCCAGUCUAUGUCUUUGGAUUGCAGAAUUUAGACCAUUUACAUUCAAUGUUAUUAUAGAGAAAUUAUCUUUUUUUCCUGCCAUUUUUAUUUCUAAUAUUUAAUUCAGACUUUAUUCUCCUUCAGUUGACAAAGUGAGAUUCAUCCUUGUAUUAGUUUUCAUUUUCACUUUUUCAUUUCUUCUUCAUAAAUAUUUUAUUAUGUUUUGUGAUAUAGGAUUAGUGGUUACAAAUUAUUUGUUUCAAUUAAUCAUUGAAGGUUUUUAUUUCAUAUUCAAUUUUGAAGGAUAGUUUUGCUAGUUAUGGUAAUCUUGGUUAGCACUCAUUUUGUCAGGGCUUGUUAUAUAUUAUUGCAAACCCUCUUGUCUUUUUGGGUCUGGGUUGAGAAAUCAGUUAAAAUUUGAAUUGGCUUACCUCUAAAUGUGACCUGCCAUGUUUUCUCUUACAGCUUUUAAAAUUCUAACUUUAUCCUGCAUAUUAGACUUUCACAUUAAAAUGUGUCUUGGAGAGGAUUUAUUUUGUCCUUGCCUAUUUGGAAUUCUAUAUGCAUCUUGUAUUUGGAUUUCCAUCUUACUUGUAAGAUUUGGAAAAUUUUCUGAAAUUAUUUUCUUGAAAAGAUUGUGCAUUUCUUUAGUGUGUGUUUCAAAGCCUUUUUCAAUCCCAGUGAUUCUUAAAUAUGAUCUCUUGAUAUUAUCCUAGAUUUCUUGAAUAUUUGGUUCAUGAUCUCUUAAUAUCUUUUCUUCAUUGUUGCAUUUUUAAAAUUAUAUAAUUGGUCUUCAAAGUCGGAGAGUCCAUAUUCAAAAUGAUCUUAUUUAUUUAUGAUGCUUUCCAUUAAAUUUUUUUAAAGAGCAUUCUUUUUUUAAAAGAGAGAGAGAGAGAGAGAAUUUUUUAAUAUUUAUUUUUUAGUUUUCGGUGGACAUUUUAUGUGGUGCUGAGGAUCGAACCCAGUGCCCUGCACAUGCCAGGCGAGUGCGCUACCGCUUGAGCCACAUCCCCAGCCCAAGAGCAUUCUUUUUUAAUAUUUUGUUGUUGUUGUAGGUUGGACACAAUACCUUUAUUUAUUUUUAUGUUGUGCUGAGGAUUGAACCCAGUGCCUCAGAUGUGCAAGGCGUGUGCUCUACCUCUGAACCACAAUCCCAGCCCCUCCAUUAAAUUUUUAAUUUGAUUUAUCAAGCUGUUUAUUUAUCUGGUUCUUUUUAGAAUCUCUCUUUAUUGAAAUGAUGUUUCACUUCUUGUAUUUUCUAACAUCUUAUUUUAGCUCAUUGGACAUUCUAACUAUUAAUUUUCUAAAUUAUUCCUGACAUUUCCUUCACUGUGAUAUUAAUGUAGUCAGUUGUUGAACUGUUAUGGGGUAUUUAGGGAGAUUAGUUCUCUUGAUUUUUCAUAUUGCUUGCAUGACUACUCAUCUCUUUGGAUGAUUAUUGCUUCUUUUGUUAUACAAGGAACACUUCAGUGAUCUUCUUUCUCUUAAAAGCACCAGGGUGAGCAAAUAUCCAAGUACUAAUACUUUCACUCUGUGUGUCUUCUGCUGUUCCCAGUGUCAGCACUACUUUGAAAUAAAGCACUAAACCCUAUUUACUACGAUCUUUCAGAACAAAGUCUCAUACUAAUCAACUUUAGGACAAACAAAAAACUUAUUGGUAAUCUUCUCUAUCAUUCUUAAUAAAGGUAUAAGCUUGUAGUAAUAUCCAUAAUAGUUUGGAAAAAAAUAGUUAUUAAUGACAUUAAAAUUGCUAUUACAUUAUAUAGCAGCUGAAAAGGGAAGAAGAGAAAAAUUGGACAAAAGAAGAGAGAAAAAACAGAAAAGAAUAAUACACACCAAGAUAAAAAGAGGAAAAAGAUGAAUGGGGCGAUUUGAGGCGGUAGCAGGGAAUGUUAAAAAAAAUAGGGGCUUAGAAAUGCAAGUGUCACCUGAGCUAGGAAAACAAAGACAGAAUGAUUUGAAUUAAUGCUUGAAAGCAUUAAGUUGGUAAUGGUGGUACAUGCCUGUAAUUCCAAGUGACUUGGAAGGCUGAGGCAGGAGGAUCACAAAUUUAAGGCCAGUCUCAGCAAUUUAGCAAGGCACUAAGCAACUUAGUGAGACCCUGUCUCCAAAUAAAAAAAUAAAUAAAAAGGGCUGGGAAUGAGACUUAGUGGUUGAGUGCCCCUGGGUUCAAUCUCUGGUACCAACAAAACAAAACAUUAGAAUAAAUACAACCAAAUGAGUUGAAGACAUGUUAUCAAAUGCUAUAGUAACAAUUAUUGAUUCAAAAUAAGAGUAAUAUAUAUGUGACCAAAGUUGACAUUAGAGCUAUUUAUAGUAAACCAUGCCAAGGUGGAGAAAAUUCUUCUGAUGUCUUCUUGAUUUGCAUUUCAUCAUGAUUUGGGAUUUUUUAGAAGAAUAUUCAUCAAUCCUCAGCUUUGUAUCCACCCAGAAGUGCUCCCUUGAUUCCUAUGGACCUCCCACCAACUGAUUCUUAUAUGUUUAUCCAGUGGCCUGAAGCUGGAUGUUUGGAAGGUGCUAUUUUACAUCUGCUAACUAUUUCUAUUGUGUUCAGAAGCAUAGGAUACUGUCAACUCUGACUGCAGCAGAUCAUUGUGUACUAGCUUUCCUCCACAGGAUCCUCUUCAAAGUGGCAUAGAGCCUGGGGGCUGUCUGGAAGUAUGGGAUCUAUGGCUGUGGGCUCUCCAUGGGUAAUCUGCAAUUCAGAAGCUUCUCCUCUGACUGACACAGAUCACCAAGGCAUUGUCCCUGGGACCAGGAAAGGGACUCUACUGAUUCAUACCCCGACUACCUAUGGUUGUGAACCAUAGGCUCCACUUCUCUCCACUGGCUCAGCCAGAGACGGCUGUCCCACUUGUGUGUGAGCUCCCAGUGCCCAUGGCAGCAAAUUAGCCAUGAAUCAAGGCAGCCAUCCCCUCCACUGCUAGACAAAGGCAGCCAUCCUACCAGCACCUUAGCUCUCACUGCCUGCCACCAUGAAUUGCAGGUGUCCAUUCUACUCCUGUAUCUGCCUGAACUCCUGUGGAAUCUGUGUAGAGUGGCUGGGUUAUGCUAGCCCUUCCCAGGAAUGACCAGCUCUUGGGUCUUGGGUCUCCUUUACCCUAUUCCCUCUGUCUGUGGUUGGGGGAGGGGAUGAAGAUUUCAGUAACUAUUGGCUCCUAGUGAUCCCUCCACAAGUUCCCUCUAGAUGGAUUAUGGAGAUAUUCCACUUCAGAGGUGUACCUUCUGGGUUGUUGUUGUUGUUGCUGCUGCUACUGCUGCUGCUGCUGUUGCUGCUGCUAUCUAAGGUGGGAGAGAAGCUGUGUUGAUUUAAUUCCUUCUAGAAAGACUGGCAAGCUAUGGACUCCUCAAAAUGGCUGCUAUGCCUUGCAUAGCUUUCAAUCCACAAUUUGGAUUAAGCUCCUUGAUUUCCUUCACUGACUGCUGUUCUACUGCUUUUUAAUUUAGUCUACUUUUCUUUUCAGCUUUGUUAAGGAAGUGAGCUUAUGGGUUUUCCAUCUCCGUUUUUUUCUUUCUCUUUAUUGCCCCUCUCUCCCACCAUAUUCUGGUCUCGAUUUGGGAUUAAGGAACACUGUCCUUAUUUUCUGCUCUGAUAACCAAACCUCAAGUCUCUCCAAGUCUCAGACUCUCCAAUAUUGAGUCUUAGAACUUUUACUCUGUCACCCACCUCUCUAAUUCACUGUUCCUUUACUGAUUCCUCUCUGGAUUGUGAAGAUAUCAAGGGUCACUACUUAGCUUAGCCAUACCAUCUUCCUCUCCUACCAGUUUCUUAGGUUUUUUUUUUUAAAUCCUGCCAUUCAGUGUUCAAACUUUUAGAUAUUUUAGUGAGGGACUCAACUAAUGCAUGAAAAGUUUUAAAUUGUAAAAUGAUUAAACUUCCAAUUCUUGGAAUUUCAUGUAUAUUUAAUUGACCAAUAUACUUUAGCAAAUUUUCUGUGCAUUUAAAGAAAGAAAGAUGGUUUUAAAUGAUACUGAGGGAGACUUUGGGUAAAACUUUGACACCAACAUCUCAGAAAAAAAAAUCACUUUCUAUACUCCUUCAUUCCAAGCAAUGAAUGGUAUUUUCUUGUUAUAUAAGUUUUCGUGUACAUACCAAUGGUUAGUUUCUUAUAACCUUUUAAUAGUAAACAUUCAAUUGAGAAAGCAUUGUUCCUCAAUUUCCCUGCCUUUCUCUGUUCUUUAUAGAUGACAAAUGAUAUGAAAAUGCACAGAAUUCUUCCAGCAACAUCAUUGGAUUACUGAUUGUGUCCUUUUUAUAAAUUUCCUUCUUUAUAAAUAAUCAAAAGGACAAUUUUAAAAGUAAAUGUCAAUUUUUAGUAGACAUUUUUGUAGGUUAUUUUUAUUUUGUAAGUAAUUAGGAGUAAAAUUGGUUUUACGAUGUCUAUAAAUCCAAACAGUUUGAAGUAUUAAUCAUCUGGUGAGACAUCUAAUGAUUUUGUCUUAUUUAUUUCAGGGAGUUUUUACUUGUGCUUUUAUCAAUAACAUGGGGAAAAUAGUGGCAGAAUAAUGCCUCAGUAUACUUGGUAUUCAGACACACAGUGAAUCAUUCAGUCUUCCCAUGGAUACAUAAGUAUCUUGUCUUUAAAAGUAUUGGCUUUAUUCCCACAGGGCAAUGUAGACCAAGGUGAGCUAAUAAGGAAAAGUUUAAUUCCUUCUUUUUGAGAAGUAACAUGAAAAAGAGUUCUGACAGUAAUUCUGCUAAUUCAUCUUCAAAAGAAUCUAUUACCACAGAUUGAUGUGAGCACUCAAUCAUGGUAAGCAUUUUGUUCUGAAAAUAGUGACAUUUUUCCUAGGGAAUCAUAUCAAUCCAAUGACAUUGGACCUUGACUAUGUUAGGCAGCCAUGGGGCUGGUCAUUAACUAUGAUGCAGGGCUCCAUGAUUGAAGUAUGGGUCCAUGCAUCCUAGGGUGAUAAAAAGAUGAACACUCAUUAUCUGCCACAUACCUCAAGCUCAGGGUCCCUUUUAUUCAAUGUGCCUAGACCAAUGAUUACUUACAAAAACAAAUCUUGUUGUAAUCUGAACAAAAUGAGUGACCAAACCACUUCUGUGAGCUAAGGUUCAGCACAGGGACCAUGCUAGGCAGACAUGUAGGUGUAUUUCUGGUAUUCAAGCAGUAUAAGCCACUGGGACUGAGGUAUUUGAAAGCUAUCCUGAUUGCAUCUGUUGGAAGAAAUGGAUUGGAUAGUUAUCUAUCAAUAUUUGCUUGUGGGGUAAAAGUGGAAACUCAUUGAUUGUUUGGCUUAUAGCAUCCAUACACUAUAGUAAACAGAUACUUGAAAACAACACAUAAGUCAUGAGACCCUCUCCUUGAGCUAGCCACACAUUUGAACUGCUAUAUUCUGGUUGUUAAUGGGUCUGAGGAUGAAAAUAUAGUCAGAAUCCAAAGACAUAAUUAUGAUUUUUUAAAUUCUAAUUUUCUAUUAAGUGAAUCAGUUACAUGGUAGUUGAAGAAUAGGUACUUUACUCUGUGGAACCGUCACAAUAUAUUUUAAUUUGGUGCCAACCCAGUCACUACAAUUGGAUAGUUCUUUUUAUUUAUUUCGUUUACAUUUUCUAUAAGCUAAGGAACCAAUUUCAGUGUCAGUUUUAGUGCUGACAUCAACCACAGGCCACAUUAAAUAGUUUUAGCUAUGAUUAUAAUUUACAUUGUUGUGUUUUUAAAUAGAUUUUAUUCUCUACUUUCCUAUAGCCUAUCAAUAUUUUCUAUUGCAUUGAAAGAGAUAGUCUAAUUAUAAUAACUUAUUUGAAAUAGAUGUGCUAGGGAACCUUAAAAAUGUAUAUUUCCCGAAAUAUUAUUUUUAUACUCAUGAUCAAAGAUGUGAUAUUUUGUCAUGCAUGUGGCCCAAUGCCUUAGGUGAAUUUUUAUAAUUGCUUAUAAUUAAAUUGAUUAACACAGUUUUGUUUCACAACUUCCUUCAUUUCCCCUGUACUUUGUAGAUUAAGUGCUAGAAUUCCCUGAAAUAUCAUUGCAAUACCAGUGAAAUACUGAUUUUUUUAUGACCUGUGUUAGCUUCCUAUGAAGAAUCAACAUAAUAUAUUCCUGAGGAAACAUCCAAUUUUAGUAAAUUUAUUUUUGUGAAUAUAUUUUAAGUAAUCAAGAAUUAAAUAGGUUUACAAAGAGUUUUUUAAUUAAAAUAUUAAAUAUUAAUAGUUUGAUAAUUUAUCUCAGCCUUCAGUCUUCUUAAUUUUAAUUAUUCUCUACUUUUGUCUACUUUCUAUAGCAUCUGAAGCAUUCUACAGAAAUUAUAAAUUAGUGUAUUUUGUAUAGGUAAAUAGUGAUAACUGGUGUCUUGUGCAGUAUAAAAACUGGACAUCUCUGCUUCUCGUAUUCCCAGAUUAUUAACAAUGACAACAUGGACCAAGUACUAGGUUUCAAAUAAGAAGAUUUAUUCCUUCCCUUGUCAUCACAUAAAGAAAAAAUACUGGGAAUUAUUCAGCCUCUCUUUCUUAAGGGCCUAUGGGAAUUCUCAUAUGGCAAUUGUUUUGUCCUAAAAAUACUGACAUUCUUCUUAGGGAAACACAAUAUUCCAAUGACACUAGACCCUGGCUAUGCUAGGUGACUAUGUGACUUGUCAUUGACUGGGAUGUUGGUCUGCAUAAUUGAAGAGUGUAAUUAAGAGUAUCCCAAGGUGACAAAAACCUGGGUGAUCAGAAACUGCCACAUACCUCAGGCUCAGGGUUCCUUUUAUUCAAUGUGCCUGGACCAAUGAUGACUUGCAGAAAUGAAUCUCAUUGGAAUCUGGAUAAAAUGAGUGACCAAACCACUUCUGUGAGUUGAGGUCCAGCAAGGGGACCCUGCUAGUCAGACAUGUGGAGGGAGUUUAAGUAGUCAGCAGCUGGGUAUGAAACUAACCUGUUCACAGCAAAUGAAUUGUAUAUAGGUCUAUAAAUACCCAAUUAUAGGAUGACACAGAUUUUUUUAAGGGCUUACCUGGUGACAUCUAUAUACCUAGUAAAUAGACUCUAGAGAAACAGGACUUGACUGGUGAGAUUCAUAGGAAAUUAUUAUUUCUGUCCUUGGGUUAUCUGACAUUUAUCUAAGCUACCUAAGUCUUCUAGCUGAUAGUUUGUCUUUAGAGUAUAAUGAGAUGACCAAUGUCCAAAGAUAUUGAAGAUAUUUUAUUUUUUAUUUUCUAUACUAAAAAAUUUGCAUGGAAAUUUAAGAAAGGAUACUACUAUAUAUGGAAUCAACUAGUGGAUUUUAUUCAUUUAUUUAUUUGCCAAUUUAGGUUUUGGACAAGUUUGUUUUCACUUUUUCCUAUAAAAAAGGGAAUGAUUUUGUAUAUUAGCACAGCCUUCAAAUAUAUGCUUCAUUAAAUAUCUUAGAUGUGAAAAGGUUAUGUUCAUUUUUACAUGAAUGUAUUGUACACAUAUACCUGUCCUCAGUAUUUUCCACUGUAUUGAAAGAGAUAUUCUCAUUAUAAUAAAUAAUUUGAAGUGGAUGGAUAUGCCAGGGAAAUUUUGAUAUUAACAUUUUAUAAAAUAUUAUUUUACAUAGUUGUGACCAAAGAUGCUGCAAGCAAGUUUAGUUGUGUUUGUCAUACAGUUGGUCCAAUGAAUGUCUUGUGUGAAUUCUUAAAAUUAAUUGUAAUUCAGUAAUCUAUUAGCAUUUUUUUCACAGCUUCCCUAAUUCCCCUGUACUUUUGUAAAUUAGGCAUGAUAGAAUCCAUGGAAUCCCACCACUGGAAGAGUCACAUACUAAAAUUGUUACCUACCAUCUCCUUUAUCUGUAAAUGAUGAAAACAAUAUACCCCUGAGGUAACAACAAAUUUUUAGUAAAUUCUUGUGAGGUUUGGUAUAAUUUUUUUAAAUUAUCGAAAAUUUAAUUUUGUGAACAGUAUGUUCAUACAAACAGCCUCAAGCAUUAUUAAAGUUGUGCUGAGACAUCAUUAUUUUUAAGAUUUUGUGCUUUUUUUUUUUACUUUGAAUAACAUCUAAUCCAUUUUAUAGAGACUGUAAAUUAGUAUAUUUAUGUGGAAGUUAAUAGGGAAAUUGCCUAUCCCAUGCAAAUGUGAAAAAAAUAAUCUGUAUACUUUUCAUAUUCCUAUAUAUAAUCUCUCCCUAUAGGUCAAUGUGGACCAAGAUCUGCAGUUCAUCUGGAUAAAUUUAUUUCUUCAUUUGUGUUGUCAUGUGAAGGAAAGUAUUAGGAAUCAUUCAGUCUCUCAUCCUCAAGAGCAAGUGGUAUUUAUCACAAAAUCAACACGAGUAGAUUGUAUGUCAACGUUUAUUUCUUCCUCUUGCAAGGUGACAUGGAAGAGAGUUUGAGAAGAAUUCAGCUUAAUUAUUCUCAAGUGCUUCUAUUCUCAUAGUUUGAUGUGGUAAUUUGCUCAUGGAUAUAUUCUUUACUCUGCAUCCUGGAGCAUCUUUCCCUCAAGACCAAAGAAGACUGUCAUUAGAAGUUUAUCACCUCUGAUCAACACGAGUAGAUUGUAUGUCAACGUUUAUUUCUUCCUCUUGCAAGGUGACAUGGAAGAGAGUUUGAGAAGAAUUCAGCUUAAUUAUUCUCAAGUGCUUCUAUUCUCAUAGUUUGAUGUGGUAAUUUGCUCAUGUAGGUGGAGUUGUCUAUUCCAAGCUUGAGUCUCUUCCCUCAGUUUGGUGUUGGUAACCAGUGAGAGAAGAUUAGAGCUCACAGUCUCUUGCCUGGAGCUUCCCUAAUCUUGAUCUAUCUGCUCUAUCUGCAUUGCUCCCAGUUUUUACCCCUCCACUCUCUUGCUUAUCAGAUCUCUGCUGUGGGACCUCUUGCUGUCCCCAUUGGAUUGUACCAGCUUAAGAGUCGCACAUGUGCUCAAAUUGUGGGCUUUGGGACCAGAGACUGGAGUCUUAAAGGAAUACAGAGGCUCUGAGUUCUGCUCAGUGUUCUCAGCUUUGGUGGAUUCUGCAAAAAUCUGCCGUAUGAGGUCCUGUCACACUCUGAGGUGUUGUAUUCUGACAAGACUGGAAGUGUUUUUGGAAUUGCAUGGAAUUAUCAUCAUCAUCCCAAAGAAGAGCUAAUUUGUCAUUCUUAUCUGUUCCAUUUUGGGGACAGAACAAAACUUUACAUUCCAAAGAUUGGCAUGCUACCCAAAACUGAAUUUUAUAUUAAAGAGUUUAUUUAAUCUUCUUGAGAGCUGAUGUGAAGCAAAGUAUUAAGAAUAAUUUUGCUAACCCAUCAUCAGGAGCCAGUUGGAAUUCUCAUAAGAAUUUUGGCACAUUCUCAAUCUUCCUAAUGAUUCCUUCUCUGGAAACUAGGCAUGGAGAGUGAUGGAGAUGCUCUUCCUUACUGGUGUGGCAGAGAGAAGCUUGACACUGCUGAGAGAUAUAAUUGCCUAAGUCCCACUGAGUCUGUAGCUGUGGGCCUGGUGAGCUUUACUCUGAAAGGAGGAUGGGGAGUAUCUCACAGUGAGAGGGCCCAGUGUCUGCAUUAUUCACUCUAUGCAUGCUACACAACCAUUCUAAUCACAUGUAUAUACUUUACCUGGGUGUGUCCUCCCUGCAUUGCUCUGACCACUCUAAACUGAAUGGGGUGCAACAUACAUAACCUUGGGCAGCCUCUGCAAAUUUCUAGGUUUCUGUACUCAAACAUGUUAAAUGCUACAAUCCAUAUUUAGACAGUUGUUCUUUCUUUUCCCUGCCAUAGCUUUUCAUGACUACCUUCUUCCCAAUCCAUUGAAUCACCUUUGAAGGUUAAAUGAUUCUAUGGUUGAAUUAAAUUGAUAUGCUAUUCACCAGUUCACCAUUUUUUGUAGUCUAAGUAUAUUCAUUUAGUCUGACUGCACAUUUGUCUGGCAGAAAGUAUUGGGCACAAUGUUCCCUGAUAGAGGUUGGAAGCUAAUACAAUGACCAUAGUACCCAUUCUAGAAGAGUACUACAUUAGCUAAUUUAAUAUGCAAUAUAUAACUGAACCCUACUGUGCCUCAUAGACCAAUGAACAUGUAUGCUUCUAUACCUCUCCUCUUUCAUUGUUUUUAUUCCUACAGGUCAACAAGGACAAAGUACUGGGCCUUACAUUAAAAUCCAUUCUUUCACCAUGAGAUGUGAAAUAAAGAAAUUUGUGGGAAAUGAUUUCUGCCAUCCUGUCUUUGGGGGCCAGUGGGAAUUCUCAUGAACAGAGAUGAUAUUGGGCCAAAAUGAGAUGUAUGACAGAGAAUGCACCUGGGACUUCAACAGUGUAUUUUGUAGGGUAGCAUGUGAUAUACUCCCCAAGGACUUGUGACAAUAAACCCCAAAAUGGAAGGGCAGUUGUUCAUGCCUGUCUUCUUAAUUCUCAAAUGUCAUUUUCAGAGUAUGAGCUGACAACUUACUUCCAAAGUCUCCAUUCCUACCUAUGGACUCUUGGACACCCUCACAGAAGAGAACUUUUUUGGGAAUUCUUCUGGGAGUGAAUGGCACCAUUAAAUUUCCAAAAGAAGGCUCCUCCAACAAAGAGCUCUUCACCUGAAUAUUUUGCAAGAGACACACUCUGGAGGUGAUGACCCCAAAGACAAGGCUAGAAGAAUCUUAUUUCAGGUGAAGGAAGAAACAUUCAUCAUGGUUUCCAUAUUUUGGCUUUGCUCUGUGUCUGAGAUGUGUACAGAAAAUAGAUGAGGAUGAUCCCAAGAAAGAAGAUGGUUCAGGGGCCACAGCAGAGAUUUCUGAGUUCUGUGGUUUGAAAUACUACCUAGGUCAUGCUCCCGACAGAAAGAACGCCUUGAUCCUCCUGGCAGCAGCCUAGCCCUGACUUUGCCAAUCCUCAAGGCCCCUUGGCACACUGACCUGUCGUAUCCAUCUUGUGAGAGAAGCAAAGCAGAUGGAUGCCUCUGACAGGCCAGGCACAGCUUGCCCUUCUACAGUCAAAUUCUUCCUUACCUGUAACUACGUUUAAUGGACUGUUUUAUCCUUGGAGUGAUUAUCUGAACUAUAAGGACUACUGAGUAAGAACCUGCUUUGUCAACUCCUGCCACUCAGGUAUGCUGCAGUGAAUCUAAUGAGUCUCCUGUCCCUUUGAAGCAUGGUUUCAGGAUGCCAUUCUGGUAAUGAAGACCAUUUUUGGCUUGUUGACACCAGUACAGCUGACACAUCCAAGUACCUGUCUUGUUUCCUGUCAACUUCAAUCAUUUUUAACAAUACCAUUAUAGUAAAAGCUAGAACAAGUUAUUGACUUCAGAGAAAAGAGUCUCAUGAGAUAGAAGAGCUAGAAUCGGAUCUUCCACUUCAGAAAUAGGGGAUUGAAUGGGAUAUUACAGAGAGGUAGACAAUAUGGUAGCAAAGGCAUUUGCCAGAAGCAGACAGAACUGGAAACCUCUACCCUGAAAUUAACUGGAAAUGCUUACUUAUAUACUAGUAGAAGUACAUGCUAAUAUGUAUGUAUUUGCCAUACGGAUUUCAAUAAAAGUGUACCAUUUCACAUCACCAGGAGUAACAGGUAAGUUAUAACCAAUAUACAGGGGAAAACAAUGCACAUAAAUAUUUCAUUUGGGAAAUAAAUCAUACUAUAAACAUUGAUGAUUAUAUUACAAAUAUAGUUCUAAUUUUGCAGCUGAGAAAUUGCAAGUUUGCUUAUUUGGUAAGUAAUAUUUAGAGACAAAAGUCCUCUUAAGAAUUGAGUACCUCACCUAAUCAGAACAGAGUCCCUGGUAUAGCCACCAUCAUAUUCUGUAGUUUCUUCUAGUGCUUGGAAAUCUAGAUUCUGCAAAUUCAAGAAAAUAUGUCUUAAUGUCUUCUACAUUACAACAUUAAAACAAUACGUGAUGCUUUAAAACAAUUUUUGUGGGGGCAGACAUUUGCUUUCUUACCCGGCUUCCACAUAUGAGCAAUUCAAUUUCUUCUGGUCUGAAUAAAUACUUUAAGGGAGAUUCAUUGGUCACCAUAUGAAAACCUCUGCGAAAAGCCUUGAACUGUUUUUCUACUGAUUUGUUGAGAAUGUAGUCAGAAUAGAGAUUGACAAAUUCCUGCCGAAAACAUUAACCACAAGAAUGUCUUAUAAUAUGUUAUUAAAAAAAAAAAAAACCUAAUUUGUGGGCAAAUCAUUCAAGAACACUUUUCAAAAUUAAAAUUUUAUACAAAGGAAAAUAUCUUACAAUUUCAUAAUUCUCUACAAUAAUCAAUAUUAAGCUGUAAAAAGUUUAUGUGUAUAAAAUGGUUAUAUAUGUUUCAAUUUUCAUAGUAUUUUAAACAAGACUGAAUAUAAAAGCUGAGGCCUCAAAUGGGCAUGGUGGCACACACAUGUAAACCCAGUGGCUUGGAAGCUGAGGCAGAAGGAUUGAGAGUUCAAAGCCAGCCUCAGCAAAAGCAAGGUGCUAAGCAACCCAGUUGAGACCCUGUCUCUAAAUAAAAUACAAAAUAGGGCUGGGGUUGUGGCUCAGUGGUUGAGCGCCCCUAAAGUUCAAUCCCUGGUAUCAAAAAGUAAAAAAGCUGAGGCCUUAAUAUAAUGUUUUAGGUUCCCUUACAUUUAAACCGUGUGUACAUUUAUAAUAGUCAAAACUUUUAAUAGAGUACAAUGUACUAAAUUUGAGCAAACCAGAAAGUCUCAUGCUAUCUAUUACAGAAUAUUGGUAAGCCACCUACGCAUCUAGUUCAUAAAAAAUCUGGUGUUUUGCUUGAUGCCUAAGCUACAACACUGAAUCAUAAAAGGAACUUUAUAUCCUAACUUAAUAAGUGUAAUAUUUUAAUAUAAGCACAUGUCCUUAUAGGUAUACUACAAAUGUAUAUAAUGUUCCUGCUACUUGUUUUCAGACAAAUACGUUUUGGUCAACAGAAAUCCAAAUCUGAUGUAAAGAAUGCUUUAGAAGUACAAUUACAUACCAAAUGAGAAAUACACAUACACAUUAAAUGCAAUUAUCAUUUUUUUGUGUGUGGUAAAAACUUUAAUCACAAGGUCCUAUUUGCUUCUUAAGUUUAAGGUAGAAAAACCCUGUUUCUUGUUUUAUACUAUAGCCACAUUUAGGUACUCAUUCUCUCCUACUAAAUGUCCUCUUAUUAAGGAAUUUAGUACUCAACUGUGUGCUCACACACCAGAUUAAAUCCAAGUUUUUGAAAACUGUAGCUCUACCAUUUGCAUGAAUUUGGGUACUUAAUUUCUUUGUUCUUGGUUCCAACUCUAUUAUACUUCUUUAAAAAUCACAAGCAUACAGGUUUUGAAAUUGUUAUCAAAGAGACAAAAACAAUGACAAUAUAAAAACAUUCAUUACCUUCCUGUUUUCAUUUGUAAUUGGAAUUUUAUCACCAUUUUCUUUUAGAUCAUACAUCAUUGGGUUACCAAAAAGAUCUGUCUGUGAUAUCUGGAAAGUGAUCAUCAUAUCAUCUUCCACAUUUCCUUCAUAUUCUAGUUUAUGUGAAACUCCAGCCAUCAUGUCAUUUUCAAACUAUCCCAGGAAUAACUGCAACAACAACAUAUACAACUUAAAAGCACUUUACACAUUGCAACCAUUUAAUCUUCACAACAACUUCAUCAGGUAGGUAAUAUUAUUUAACUUCAAUUACAGAUGGUUAACUUAAUGAAAGGUUAAAAACUUGAUCAAGACAAGUUAGUAAGUCAUAAAGAAAGAGAUUCUAAUCCAGCAACACGCUCUGAAUCAUUGUGCUUCACAGCCUCUCCAUAAUGUGUCUUUUAUUUUCUGGCUUUCCAUAUUUUCUAUUGUUUUACAAUGAAUGCUUUAAAAAAUAGUUGUCAACUAAAUUUCUCAGAUGUAAAUUUCCAAUUAUCAAUUUUAGAGUAUCAUUCUCAGAUAUAUAAGUCAUUUUGUAAAAUAUUUUAUCAUUUAAAGUUGCAUGGGUAGCCUUUUUUAAAAAAAAUUAACUUUAAAUUAUAGUACAGAUAAAGAAAGUAAAAUUUCAAAAUAAUCAUUUUGACAAUGGUCAUUGUUACAUAGAGGCUGCAUUUAUUCUUCCUCUUUCAUAAAAAUAACAACCUUGAAUACUUUUGUUUAGUUAAUGAGAGAAUUAUGUAAGAACUGCAGUAGAGGAUAUAUUUUAUACUUAAAUAUAAUAGAGACCAUGGGGACGGGUGAUAAACAAAACAGACUGGGUAUAACGAACAACAUGAACCUCUUUCUUAUAUAACUUCCUCUUCUUACCAAGACUUUUUAUUUCACCAAUUGUUGAUACUUUCUAAACAUUUAAUUAGGCAUGAUGACUAAAUUCUAGGGGUCAUUUUAAAAAAACUGAUCCAACAUGAAAGCAUUCCCAAAACACCUAGGUAUGUUGACAUUUCAAUAUAAAAAUAUUGUAUUACCAGAUUUAUAAUAAUCAAAAGGAAAGCCCUUUACUUAAAAACUUUAAUAGCCUGGGCUAUUAAAUAAAAUCCAACCUUAUCCAUAACUGAAAAAUGAUUCCUUAAUGGUAUGAAUAUUUAAGGAGUAAUGCUCACAUAAACUCAGCCUAAUAUUUAAUAAUACUUACAUUCUCUAAGGAAUCUAGCUUAUACUAUUUCUGCCCAUUAGUUUCUAUGGACAGAAGUUUGGUGGUGAAUAACCUUAUACUAUUGAUUAGAAAGCAAUUCUCAGAUUAUUCAGAUAUAUUUAAUUUUUUCACGUUCUCUAUAAGCAAAUGAAGAACAGCUUAUUAUCACUUAAAUAGAAAAUUGAAAAGUUAGUGUAAAAGCCACAUCACAUAAUUACAUUUGUCCAUGAGACCUGGAUUUCUGAGUCUACUUCUAAUUCUGCCAUUCAUUUCUGUAGGUAAAAAUGUCUCUAGAUUUCAUUUUCUUCUCUCGUAAUACUAAGGAAUUUGUCAAGUUUCACUCUUUUAAAUUAUUACAUGAUGCUGACUACUUCGUUCUUUCAUUAAGAAAUUAGUUAGAGGAUAUAAACCAAGCAUAAAAUUCUUCAUUUCAGUUAGAACAAAUCCUAAGAAACAACAAAAAAAGGGGGAGGAAGAAAAUAAAGACUGCCAUCUGCUUAGUGUGAGCAUUCAAGAGCCCCUUAGAAGUCUCAGUGAGCUCUAUUUCCUUGUGUCUAUUUCUUAUCAGCGUGCCCAACACAGAGGAUUAGUGAAAUGAAAUGGUUUUAUGGACAAGUAAAAAUCAAGUAGAGGUAUCAUCUAAGUGAAUCCCAAUUUAUAAUAAGUCAAAUCAUAUUGAGUUUGAUAAAAUAAGCAGAACUCACUAAAAUACACAUAUAUUUGUUAGUGCAACUACAAAGCUAAUAGUUAUUUUGACGCUUGCUUAGGAGAAGGCUUUAAAAACUGAAAUGGCUAUUUCCUCAAAAUCCUUAAAGAUAAAUUUAAAACACAGAGUGAAGUGAGUAUCAAGGACCUAAACUUUUACUGGAUCUUAGCAUUACUCUAAAAGGGAAAAAGGGGCUGGGAAUAAGGAAGAAAAUAAGGCUGGAUAGAUAUUUGAGCAGAAGACAAGUAGGGGAGACAGAUAAUUUUGUUUAACCCUCAAUGGACUCUUAAAAGACAGUAAAUCAUUUCUUUUUUCAGGUCAGGCAUAACUUUUGCUGAAAUCAGCUGAAGGGACAUGUCACAUAUAGUGUGUAGUUUCAGCAUUUCAAUCUCUGCUCCAACAACGAAUAUGCAUAUAAACCUCAAAGUGCUUUUCAUAAGAUUUCAUUUUCAUUCUUACAAAAUGUCCUACCCACCCUGUUGAACUACGCAAAAUAAGUUGCUGGCUGCUUGAUGACUAGUUACUAAAUGUAUUAAUUAUUAAUGUUGCUCAAAGCUACAUAAAUAAGAGGCAAAAAGCAAGCAAUAGUAAUCUCUUCAGGCAGAUAAAAAGCCCCUUUCUGUCUCCACCAAAAAGCUGUUUUGACUUUCUUGAGAAUGCAGAAUCUUUCUUCAACACUAUAAACAUUUGACAUUAUUAAAAACCAGUAACAGAAAAGAGGCACAAACUCUGAAGUUCAUUAAGGUUGAAUUCUGAGAUGUAACAAAAUUUUCCACUGGUUGAAAGUUUCAUGAAUCCUCAGAGUUAGACAAAUCUAUUCUAAAAAUAAAAUACAUUUUAACUACUUAUCACUGUAUCGUAGUUGUUUAUACUAUGGUUUCUUAUUCUGUUAGUACAGAAGGUUGACUAAUUUUAGCUGACAUUAAAUUUUACUUCAAGUUAAUGAAAAAACUAUUAACAACAUGGAUACCAAAUGCUAUGAAUACAAUAAAAGCAUACUAAAGCACACUAACAAAUGUAAUUUUGUAAAAUGUGACUGGCAAUUGAUUUCUGUCUUCUGGUGAAACCAACAUUCUUAAAGUAGUGACACUAAAAUUCUUAUUCUGUGGAGGAAAAGUAGUAGUAACUAGAGGCAAUCCCAUCUGAAAAAAAACAGAAUUAGAAGAUGGGUACCCAAGCUCCCAGUAUUUUCCCACCUUAAUCUCUCUGAAUUUGGCUGAUGAUACAGGUACAAUCAAUAAAUUCUUAGAAUAGCUGCUCUUUUCCAAGAUUAUUUCAAGCCCCAAAGUUGUCCCUAUAAAUAUUUAAGGGAGAAAAACUACCACAACCACAGUGUCAUACAGGGACAUUUUGAAUGGCUUAAUAGAACUCCAAUACACACCAACUUGCCCUGGUCAUUUUAUCAAACUUACCAUAAUACAAUGAUGCACAUCUAAAUUCUACAUGAUGGAAUUUUUGGGGUACCACUUACAACUUUAUGGUAUAAAUUUACUGUACUACGUCUCCCAGUUAAGAAUUCAUAUUCAUACUUAAUAUUGAUAUCUCCACAUUUUCCUUGUUCCUAUGUCUCAGUCUUUCCCUAAUAAUCUCUUCUCUGAAAGAAAACUCUGAAGAAACUCUAGGGAUUAGUUUUCAAGAUUUAGAAAAUCCAUUCUUUUUCAAAUAGAGAGUACUCAUUAGGUAAGACAAUAAAAUGUAGAUACACUUAUAAACUUGGUCAGGAAUAACAAAAAUACUUAAAACUUAAAAUCAGAAAUAUCAAUGUCUAUAUGAUACUAAAUGAAUUCACUGAACUGCAUUACAAUAUCCCAUUAGGUUUCUUAUUUAGUGCUGAUUUUAAACAGCAAACUUACCCGA
Molecule: long non-coding RNA, 18237 nt
Organism: Marmota monax (woodchuck)
Lineage: Eukaryota; Metazoa; Chordata; Mammalia; Rodentia; Sciuridae
Exons: 24
Source: RefSeq, a predicted model, not a curated record